RNAcentral lists this ribosomal RNA (922 nucleotides) under uncultured bacterium. RNAcentral describes it as "bacterial SSU rRNA". It matches the Rfam family "Bacterial small subunit ribosomal RNA", at positions 502 to 1425 of the family's 1533-position model. The record is from RNAcentral.
UACGUGCCAGCAGCCNCGGUAAUACGUAGGUCCCGAGCGUUNUCCGGAUUUAUUGGGCGUAAAGGGAGCGCAGGCGGUUUAGUAAGUCUGAAGUUAAAGGCAUUGGCUCAACCAAUGUAUGCUUUGGAAACUGUUAGACUUGAGUGCAGAAGGGGAGAGUGGAAUUCCAUGUGUAGCGGUGAAAUGCGUAGAUAUAUGGAGGAACACCGGUGGCGAAAGCGGCUCUCUGGUCUGUCACUGACGCUGAGGCUCGAAAGCGUGGGUAGCGAACAGGAUUAGAUACCCUGGUAGUCCACGCCGUAAACGCUGAGUGCUAGGUGUUAGGUCCUUUCCGGGACUUAGUGCCGACGCUAACGCAUUAAGCACUCCGCCUGGGGAGUACGACCGCAAGGUUGAAACUCAAAGGAAUUGACGGGGGCCCGCACAAGCGGUGGAGCAUGUGGUUUAAUUCGAAGCAACGCGAAGAACCUUACCAGGUCUUGACAUCCCGAUGCCCGCUCUAGAGAUAGAGUCUUUCUUCGGAACAUCGGAGACAGGUGGUGCAUGGUUGUCGUCAGCUCGUGUCGUGAGAUGUUGGGUUAAGUCCCGCAACGAGCGCAACCCUUAUUGUUAGUUGCCAUCAUUAAGUUGGGCACUCUAGCGAGACUGCCGGUAAUAAACCGGAGGAAGGUGGGGAUGACGUCAAAUCAUCAUGCCCCUUAUGACCUGGGCUACACACGUGCUACAAUGGUUGGUACAACGAGUCGCAAGCCGGUGACGGCAAGCUAAUCUCUGAAAGCCAAUCUCAGUUCGGAUUGUAGGCUGCAACUCGCCUACAUGAAGUCGGAAUCGCUAGUAAUCGCGGAUCAGCACGCCGCGGUGAAUACGUUCCCGGGCCUUGUACACACCGCCCGUCACACCACGAGAGUUUGUAACACCCAAA